UAAUUGAAGAGUUUGAUCAUGGCUCAGAUUGAACGCUGGCGGCAGGCCUAACACAUGCAAGUCGAACGGUAACAGAGAGCAGCUUGCUGCUCUGCUGACGAGUGGCGGACGGGUGAGUAAUGUCUGGGAAACUGCCUGAUGGAGGGGGAUAACUACUGGAAACGGUAGCUAAUACCGCAUAACGUCUACGGACCAAAGUGGGGGACCUUCGGGCCUCAUGCCAUCAGAUGUGCCCAGAUGGGAUUAGCUAGUAGGUGGGGUAACGGCUCACCUAGGCGACGAUCCCUAGCUGGUCUGAGAGGAUGACCAGCCACACUGGAACUGAGACACGGUCCAGACUCCUACGGGAGGCAGCAGUGGGGAAUAUUGCACAAUGGGCGCAAGCCUGAUGCAGCCAUGCCGCGUGUAUGAAGAAGGCCUUCGGGUUGUAAAGUACUUUCAGCGGGGAGGAAGGCGUUGUGGUUAAUAACCACAGC
This 476-nucleotide ribosomal RNA is filed under the name Cronobacter sakazakii. Its description in RNAcentral is "bacterial SSU rRNA". It matches the Rfam family "Bacterial small subunit ribosomal RNA", at positions 1 to 473 of the family's 1533-position model. Lineage: Bacteria; Pseudomonadati; Pseudomonadota; Gammaproteobacteria; Enterobacterales; Enterobacteriaceae. The record is from RNAcentral.